AUUGAACGCUGGCGGCAGGCCUAACACAUGCAAGUCGAGCGGUAACAGAGAUAGCUUGCUAUCUGCUGACGAGCGGCGGACGGGUGCGUAACGCGUAGGAAUUUGCCCGAUAGUGGGGGAUAGCCCGGAGAAAUUCGGAUUAAUACCGCAUACCUUCUACGGAAGAAAGCAGGGGAUCUUCGGACCUUGCGCUAUCGGAUGAGCCUGCGUCGGAUUAGCUAGUUGGUGGGGUAAAUGCCUACCAAGGCGACGAUCCGUAGCUGGUCUGAGAGGAUGAUCAGCCACACUGGGACUGGGACACGGCCCAGACUCCUACGGGAGGCAGCAGUGGGGAAUAUUGCACAAUGGGCGCAAGCCUGAUGCAGCCAUGCCGCGUGUGUGAAG
This 384-nucleotide ribosomal RNA is filed under the name uncultured Gammaproteobacteria bacterium. RNAcentral's name for it is "bacterial SSU rRNA". It matches the Rfam family "Bacterial small subunit ribosomal RNA", at positions 30 to 410 of the family's 1533-position model. The record is from RNAcentral. Lineage: Bacteria; Pseudomonadati; Pseudomonadota; Gammaproteobacteria.